This is a non-coding RNA of Labrus bergylta (ballan wrasse), 222 nucleotides long. NCBI's taxonomy places the organism in Eukaryota, Metazoa, Chordata, Actinopteri, Labriformes, Labridae. The record is from RefSeq and is a predicted model, not a curated record.
CGAAGUCCUGGAUCAGCUCUUCAACACUUAUGACCGCCAGGAACAAGUUGACGUCAAUGUCCUCCGUGCUGCCGUCCUCCGUGCUCUCCCUACAUAUCUGCAUGAGGAUGACUCCGGAUUUCUGAAGCUGUGGGAUCAGGCCCUGUCAGAUGAACUGCAAAUCGACAACAUACCAGUUGGGCUCCUCCUGAUCAGUGCCACUUCAACAGAUGCUGCGGUAUU